Molecule: non-coding RNA, 424 nt
Organism: Cinara cedri
Lineage: Eukaryota; Metazoa; Arthropoda; Insecta; Hemiptera; Aphididae
Source: the annotation of a GenBank genome assembly
CAUGUCCAAUUCAGCUAUAAGCACAAUUACAUUCGAAUUUUCGUUUUUCAUGAAUUGCAGAUUCUAUAAAUUGGUUGCCUUUUUUAAGUAAUAUAAACGUGCAAUUCGGCGAAUGGCGUGCAUAUUCUUUCCAAGGAUCGUCUGCAAUUGUCCAUUCGUGUAGAAUUAGCCCGCAAUUAAAACAUUGUACACAAUCUCUUGCGCCUAGGAAUUUAAAACCAGCUUCACACAAUGAAAAUGUAUUUAGAUGUUUCAAAGCGAAUGAAUCAAAAGUUCUUAGUCUUGACGCAAAUGUAGUUGUCUCAACAUAUUUCGGAUUCUGACUACUCCGAACGAUGUAUAAUAAUUUAGAAAAAUCAUCUGAGUAUUUUGUUAAAUUCAUAAUGUAAAAAUUAAUGAUACUAACACAACUGGCAUGUACAAC